AUACGGAGGAUCCGAGCGUUAUCCGGAUUUAUUGGGUUUAAAGGGUGCGCAGGCGGCCAUUUAAGUCAGCGGUUAAAUCGUGGGACUCAACCCCAUUCUGCCGUUGAUACUGGGUGGCUUGAUUGCGGUCGAGGUUGGCGGAAUUCGUUGUGUAGCGGUGAAAUGCAUAGAUAUGACGAAGAACACCGAUUGCGUAGGCAGCUGACCAGACCGCAAAUGACGCUCAUGCACGAAAGUGCGGGGAUCGAACAGGAUUAGAUACCCUGGUAGUCCGCACAGUAAACGAUGAAUACUUGUUUUCGGCGAUAUAAUGUCGGAGGCAAAGCGAAAGCGAUAAGUAUUCCACCUGGGGAGUACGCCGGCAACGGUGAAACUCAAAGGAAUUGACGGGG
This 392-nucleotide ribosomal RNA is filed under the name uncultured bacterium. Its description in RNAcentral is "partial 16S ribosomal RNA". It matches the Rfam family "Bacterial small subunit ribosomal RNA", at positions 523 to 918 of the family's 1533-position model. The record is from RNAcentral.